RNAcentral lists this ribosomal RNA (484 nucleotides) under uncultured bacterium. Its description in RNAcentral is "partial 16S ribosomal RNA". The record is from RNAcentral.
GUAGUUAGCCGGGGCUUCCUCCUUGGCUACCGUCAUUUCUUUCGUCACCAAGGACAGAGGUUUACAACCCGAAAGCCUUCUUCCCUCACGCGGCGUUGCUGGGUCAGGCUUGCGCCCAUUGCCCAAUAUUCCCCACUGCUGCCUCCCGUAGGAGUCUGGACCGUGUCUCAGUUCCAGUGUGGCCGAUCAGCCUCUCAGCUCGGCUACCCAUCGUCGACUUGGUGGGCCGUUACCCCGCCAACUAUCUAAUGGGACGCGAACCCCUCCUUUAGCGGAUUGCUCCUUUGACCGCUUCCCGAUGUCGGGGCGUGGUCUUAUGCGGUAUUAGCACUUGUUUCCAGGUGUUAUCCCCCUCUAAAGGGCAGGUUGUUCACGCGUUACUCACCCGUUCGCCACUAAGAUAAAACCGAAAUCUUAUCUCCGUUCGACUUGCAUGUGUUAGGCACGCCGCCAGCGUUCGUCCUGAGCCAUAAUCAAACUCUGA